GGAAGCUAUUUUGAGCCCAAAAGCCGAAAAACUCGGCCCAAUUCAACCCCAAAGGCAGAAGUAGAACCAAGCUCGAAGAAUUUUUUGGGCCCAGGGCUAUUCUUGGGCUUGGGCUUGAAUAUAAUUUCUAUGCGAUAAUUUUCAAUAACCUCUGGUUUUUCUUACGUUACUUCUCCAGAACAACCUGAAAAUUUCAAAUAUUGGGUGCGAACCGGCCGAAAAAUUUGAAAAUUUCCCGCUGAGUAUCGUCCGGAAUUUCCGAUUUUCGGUUUGUUACGGUUCGAAUCAGAGAUGGGUGGCAAGAAGAGGAGGAGAGUGGAGCGGCCGUCGAUACAUCCCAGAAACAAGUACUCCGAAAACCCGCCCGAUUUCGCCCUCUUGGCUUCCCUCUACCCAUCCUUCAAGCCCUUCGUUUUCUUGAACCGCGCUGGUCGACCCACAAUCGAUUGGACCGAUUUCAACGCCACCCGAGAGCUGACCCGAGUGCUUCUCCUCCACGACCAUGGCCUAAAUUGGUGGAUUCCUGAUGGGCAGCUUUGCCCUACAGUUCCAAACAGAUCAAACUAUAUCCAUUGGAUUGAAGAUCUUCUGUCUUCUGACAUUAUUCCUAAGACAAGCACUGAUGGAAAUAAUGUGAGGGGUUUUGACAUUGGAACUGGAGCCAAUUGCAUUUACCCACUUCUUGGUGCAUCUCUUUUGGGAUGGAGCUUUGUUGGGACAGAUGUGACAGAUGUAGCGCUGGAGUGGGCAGAGAAGAAUGUUAAAAGUAAUCCGCAUAUUUCAGAAUUAAUUGAAAUUAGAAAGGUUGAAAGUGAUGGCAGCACCCCUUCUGGGGAGGGGUUGCAUAUUGGUGAGUCAUUCAUUGUUGAAGGUGAAAAAGAUUUAAGUGGAAUUAAUGCGGGGGACACAGAGCCUUUGCCCUCAUGUUCACUUGAUGCAGAUUUGGGUUCAAAUAAAAGUUAUCAUGGGCCUCCUGUGCUCCUUGGCAUCCUGAAGGAUGGUGAGAAUCUUGACUUCUGUAUGUGUAAUCCUCCAUUUUUUGAGACCAUGGAGGAAGCAGGACUUAACCCAAAAACUUCAUGUGGGGGGACCCCAGAGGAGAUGGUUUGCCCUGGAGGAGAGAAGGCUUUUAUAACACGUAUCAUUGACGAUAGUGUGAUUUUGAAGCAAUCUUUUCGGUGGUACACUUCGAUGGUUGGGAAGAAAACAAACCUGAAGAUCCUUGUAUCAAAGCUUCGGAAUGUUGGAGUGACCAUAGUUAAGACAACUGAAUUUGUCCAAGGCCAAACAUGUCGUUGGGGGAUUGCUUGGUCUUUUGUGCCUUCUGCCAGGAAGUUGAUAUUGCCUCAUGUAGCCAAGAAGAACAAUCAGUCUUUCAUGCUUGAGGGUCUUCAACGCCAAUUUAGUGCCAUAAAUGUGCUACAAUCAGUUGAGUCCUUUUUCUGCACUAUCGGUGCAUCCUGUAAAUCCAAUGCUUCCUCGUUUACAGUUGAUGUUGCUAUAUCAAAUGAUCACUGUAAUGCAAUCCUGAAGACUGAAGUGCAAGGUUACAAUGAACUCAACAAUUACCAGUAUAUGCAAGAGAUUUGCGAUGGUUCAAGUUUCCCCCCUUCGUUUGAAGAACUAUGCUUCCGCAUUUUGGUUUUUCAGCAAAUUCCUGGGACGCUUUUGGUGAGAGGAUCAUUAAAAGAUAGAGAAAGCCCAGGCUCAGGAGUUUUUUGGUCAAUAUUCCAACAACUAGAGGAAGUACUAAAAAAUAAGUUUUGUAGAGAAAAGGCUUCUUAGAUUUGUCGUACUCUUAUCUGGGAACACAAGUCUGAAGCUUGCGAGCUUGCUCAAUUUCUCUUUCCCUUGAUAGAUUAUGCUAGGAGGGUGACUCUUCUAUCCACAUUUCAUCAGUCAAGAGCAACAGCUUCUAAGGAAGAUUGCACCAUCAAUAUGGGAUAUUAUUGCCAGCCUAGCUUUGUUAUGCCAUUCCAAGCUCGCCUCUACAAAAGAUCAGCAGAUGUUCCAGCUCAUUGGGUGGAUUCUAAAAUCAGAUUUUCUCAGACCUCAUUUCAGUUUCCUAUUUUGGAAUUGUGGCUUGCUCUAUCAUGGUCUCCGAUAGGGCCUUAGUCAAUUUAGAUUGUCGAUUUGGGGCAGUACAAGCUUUAAGAUAGGGAUGAAAUGUACCAGCCAAUGAAAAUGUGAUGCAUCAUGGUCCCAACAAGGCUUGGAGGGUUGCCAAUACAAGCUUAUUAUAUAGUGUGUCCAAUUUUGAGUCCUAUACGUGCCUGAGGAUACAGGAACUGUGUUUUCUCGAAACUUUGCAAUCACAUGGUGGGGUUGCAUAUUAUCUGUGUUUCAUGUAUUCACAGGUGUUGUGGUCCAUUAAUAACAUGUGGCUAUCAUGAAAUGGACUUGAUUGAAUUCAGUUUUAAUAAGUUGGAAUGUGAAAACUCUAUCGGCGAUAUCUUACUGAUUUUUUUUUUAAAAAUUUUUGGACAAAAAAGUAUUCUCUUUCCCUUCCUUUUUGCUCCUCUUUUCAGCUUGAUUUUGGAAUGAACUCUGAAACUUAGGCCUCAAAGAACAUAUGCCUAAGUUUAUAUGAUAAUAUAGAUAGAAAGCAUGGUGCCUUCUCCUAGCUGGCAGCAUACUUGAUUCAUAGCCCUGUGGACUAACAAAAUUUUAUGGAUCAUUUAGCAGAACUAAUCUCAUUUAUAUCAAUAAGUUUUGAAUCUUUCCUGAAUUCACAGGUAUUUUGAUUGCCUCAGAUUUCAUGCCUGCUGUUGGGCAUUGCCCUUGAAGUUUGGAGAAUAGGAGCCUUCUCUUGCUCUUCCAUCCGACAAUUGAUAUUGUUUACUGCUCUUCCAAUCUCCACUGAGCAGUGAAAUUUGUAACAGUAAUGGAACCUGUGAAAAGCGUUGAAAUUGAGAAAAGAACGCAGAGAUUAACACAAGAUUUAUUCAAAACAAACGUGCUCUCACCCUUUAAUACAUAUGAUGAAUCUCUACACAUCCUAUCUUGCAAGCGAACAAAUUUGUGCAACAGCAAACAAAUUCACAGAACAACUGCUGAAAACAGAAAGGAAGGAAACUGCUUUCUACAGGGGAGAUUCUAGAAAAUGAACAAGGCGAAGAAAAACACAGCACUGCAAUAUCUUCAGGCCUUCCCUUCUAUUCUUGCAUAUGUCAACCCAACACAUGCAUCAACGAAAUCCUCAUCAAUAAAAUCUGUUGAGAAGAUCUGCAGCCGAUCAGCACAACCUUGAGAGACACAUUUAGCUAUGAAAAGCCUAGCAUAUCCAUGGAUCCGCCUUGUCACAGGUUUGACACACAAGACUGGGUUAUCUGCCUGUGGAGUAACUGUAUUCUCGACCCUGUAAAAGAAUUUCCUGGAUGUAACAGGUGCUUGCUCGCUCAAAUGCUUUAUGUUGCUAUCAAAUUUUGUGGACGGUAAAUCUGUGUCGAUCCAGUUAUCUUUCAGGUGCCCUGCAUUCCAUAAUGGCCCUCCUGCCUUCGGUUGAGGUGACUUCCUUGGCUUCCAUACACAGAUAAUUCUCUUUGGCAACAGUUCUGCAAUUGUCUUUCCGAACACACGAUCAUCCUGGUGGAUUAGAAACUCGCCAAGCUGAUCCUCCAAGUACUUCUCGAAUUCAGGUGGGUCUUGGUGUCCAAACUCAGUGCGGAUCUCCAGGAUAAUAAUCUCUGACUGGGUCUCAGCCAAGAACUUCUUGAUGUCUUUGAUGACACUAUCAAUACUAUAUGUCACAAGGAUUCCAUGGCAGACCCGGCGAUCCUCCUGGACCCGGAUGUCAAGAACUCUGGUGCCUCUUACAAGCUGGUGAUAGAUGGACAAGGAUUGGCAUUGAGCAAAGGGCCGGCUGACGAGUGGGAUUCCAAUCUUGUUGGUUGCAGAAUCAUGGGUCCCUGGCCAUACAAUCUUGUUUAUGUGAACUUUCUCAGGGCCAAGGCCAGACAUCCAAUUCUUCCGAUCAGGAGGAUGGUAGUCUGAACCUGGGAACACAUCACCACAGGUUUGAUUGAGCUCACAGAGAGUUUUCUUCUGAGUGGAGAGUGCCUUCCGUCGUGCCAACUGCUUAGAAGCCUGAGAACCCAUUGUUGGAAUCAGAGAAGAAGAGGAAGAAUUGAGAAGAAGGGGAAGAAGAAUUGAGAAGGAGAAGUAUUCUCAAUUCUUCCUCUUUUUUCUUCUUCUUGUUCUUGUUUCUGGAGUGGGCUUUGCAGAGAACAUAUAUUGCUUUUAAUAUAUGGCAUUGUAAUGGAGGUUAGACUUUUUUGGAUUGUUGGAAAACUGUUGAAAAAUUGUUACCCCUUCUCUUCAUUUUCUUCUCAAUUAUCUUCAAUUAAUUAGUUUUUAGAUUGGAUUUC
Molecule: RNA transcript, 4367 nt
Organism: Vitis vinifera (wine grape)
Lineage: Eukaryota; Viridiplantae; Streptophyta; Magnoliopsida; Vitales; Vitaceae
Exons: 9
Source: RefSeq, a predicted model, not a curated record